RNAcentral lists this ribosomal RNA (1499 nucleotides) under Escherichia coli. RNAcentral's name for it is "partial 23S ribosomal RNA". It matches the Rfam family "Bacterial large subunit ribosomal RNA", at positions 912 to 2393 of the family's 2925-position model. The record is from RNAcentral. Lineage: Bacteria; Pseudomonadati; Pseudomonadota; Gammaproteobacteria; Enterobacterales; Enterobacteriaceae.
GUUUCGGCAAGGGGGUCAUCCCGACUUACCAACCCGAUGCAAACUGCGAAUACCGGAGAAUGUUAUCACGGGAGACACACGGCGGGUGCUAACGUCCGUCGUGAAGAGGGAAACAACCCAGACCGCCAGCUAAGGUCCCAAAGUCAUGGUUAAGUGGGAAACGAUGUGGGAAGGCCCAGACAGCCAGGAUGUUGGCUUAGAAGCAGCCAUCAUUUAAAGAAAGCGUAAUAGCUCACUGGUCGAGUCGGCCUGCGCGGAAGAUGUAACGGGGCUAAACCAUGCACCGAAGCUGCGGCAGCGACGCUUAUGCGUUGUUGGGUAGGGGAGCGUUCUGUAAGCCUGUGAAGGUGUGCUGUGAGGCAUGCUGGAGGUAUCAGAAGUGCGAAUGCUGACAUAAGUAACGAUAAAGCGGGUGAAAAGCCCGCUCGCCGGAAGACCAAGGGUUCCUGUCCAACGUUAAUCGGGGCAGGGUGAGUCGACCCCUAAGGCGAGGCCGAAAGGCGUAGUCGAUGGGAAACAGGUUAAUAUUCCUGUACUUGGUGUUACUGCGAAGGGGGGACGGAGAAGGCUAUGUUGGCCGGGCGACGGUUGUCCCGGUUUAAGCGUGUAGGCUGGUUUUCCAGGCAAAUCCGGAAAAUCAAGGCUGAGGCGUGAUGACGAGGCACUACGGUGCUGAAGCAACAAAUGCCCUGCUUCCAGGAAAAGCCUCUAAGCAUCAGGUAACAUCAAAUCGUACCCCAAACCGACACAGGUGGUCAGGUAGAGAAUACCAAGGCGCUUGAGAGAACUCGGGUGAAGGAACUAGGCAAAAUGGUGCCGUAACUUCGGGAGAAGGCACGCUGAUAUGUAGGUGAAGUCCCUCGCGGAUGGAGCUGAAAUCAGUCGAAGAUACCAGCUGGCUGCAACUGUUUAUUAAAAACACAGCACUGUGCAAACACGAAAGUGGACGUAUACGGUGUGACGCCUGCCCGGUGCCGGAAGGUUAAUUGAUGGGGUCAGCGCAAGCGAAGCUCUUGAUCGAAGCCCCGGUAAACGGCGGCCGUAACUAUAACGGUCCUAAGGUAGCGAAAUUCCUUGUCGGGUAAGUUCCGACCUGCACGAAUGGCGUAAUGAUGGCCAGGCUGUCUCCACCCGAGACUCAGUGAAAUUGAACUCGCUGUGAAGAUGCAGUGUACCCGCGGCAAGACGGAAAGACCCCGUGAACCUUUACUAUAGCUUGACACUGAACAUUGAGCCUUGAUGUGUAGGAUAGGUGGGAGGCUUAGAAGUGUGGACGCCAGUCUGCAUGGAGCCGACCUUGAAAUACCACCCUUUAAUGUUUGAUGUUCUAACGUUGACCCGUAAUCCGGGUUGCGGACAGUGUCUGGUGGGUAGUUUGACUGGGGCGGUCUCCUCCUAAAGAGUAACGGAGGAGCACGAAGGUUGGCUAAUCCUGGUCGGACAUCAGGAGGUUAGUGCAAUGGCAUAAGCCAGCUUGACUGCGAGCGUGACGGCGCGAG